GGGGCUAUAGCUCAGCUGGCAGAGCGCUUGCAUGGCAUGCAAGAGGUCCCCGGUUCGAUCCCGGGUAGCUCCA
This 73-nucleotide transfer RNA is filed under the name Solirubrobacterales bacterium 67-14. RNAcentral describes it as "tRNA-Ala". It matches the Rfam family "tRNA". From Rfam's summary of the family: Transfer RNA (tRNA) molecules are approximately 80 nucleotides in length. Their secondary structure includes four short double-helical elements and three loops (D, anti-codon, and T loops). RNAcentral also lists the same sequence under 2 other names. Lineage: Bacteria; Bacillati; Actinomycetota; Thermoleophilia; Solirubrobacterales. The record is from RNAcentral.